RNAcentral lists this ribosomal RNA (253 nucleotides) under uncultured bacterium. RNAcentral describes it as "partial 16S ribosomal RNA". It matches the Rfam family "Bacterial small subunit ribosomal RNA", at positions 524 to 776 of the family's 1533-position model. The record is from RNAcentral.
UACGGAGGGGACUAGCGUUGUUCGGAAUUACUGGGCGUAAAGCGCACGUAGGCGGAUUUGUAAGUCAGGGGUGAAAUCCCGGGGCUCAACCUCGGAACUGCCUUUGAUACUGCAAAUCUCGAGUCCGGAAGAGGUGAGUGGAAUUCCUAGUGUAGAGGUGAAAUUCGUAGAUAUUAGGAAGAACACCGGUGGCGAAGGCGGCUCACUGGUCCGGUACUGACGCUGAGGUGCGAAAGCGUGGGGAGCAAACAGG